Molecule: ribosomal RNA, 301 nt
Filed under: uncultured bacterium
Lineage: Bacteria
Description: partial 16S ribosomal RNA
Rfam family: Bacterial small subunit ribosomal RNA
Source: RNAcentral
CAGUCGCCGCGGUAAUACAGAGGGUGCGAGCGUUAAUCGGAUUUACUGGGCGUAAAGCGUGCGUAGGCGGCUUAUUGAGUCGGAUGUGAAAUCCCUGAGCUUAACUUGGGAAUUGCAUUCGAUACUGGGUAGCUAGAGUAUGGGAGAGGAUGGUAGAAUUCCAGGUGUAGCGGUGAAAUGCGUAGAGAUCUGGAGGAAUACCGAUGGCGAAGGCAGCCAUCUGGCCUAAUACUGACGCUGAGGUACGAAAGCAUGGGGAGCAAACAGGAUUAGAUACCCCGGUAGUCCCUGUCUCUUAUAC